UUUAAACAAAUGUACGUUUUUUACGGAAAGGGUAGGUACUAGCCUGGGUGCCAUUCCGAACUUAGUCCCGCCCACAACGUUUGAGGUCGGGAAGUUCGGUCUGGCAUUGAUCCAUAGUGGCGCGAGUAUGCUCGCCCAAAAGCUGGCAGGCCAAUCAAAUUGUCAGGGCGGGCUUUAUACGAUGAUGGACAGAUGUUCAACAGUAACGUAAUCAACCACGUCACCAAAGAGCGCUUGGGUUGAAUUCGUUUACAACAACGAUGGCUGCCGCUGGAGAAUUGAGAUGUGUAGAUUCUGCUAUCAGGUCUGUUCUAGAAGAUAUCGACAGCGAAUUGAUUUUAAAAGAGGAACAGAGUAACGGGAUCAAGGCAUUUUUUGACAAGAAAGAUGUUUUUGCCGAAGCAACUGAAAUGGGCAUCACGGCGAUGCAACUCGGCGUGCACAACGAGGUGGAUAUAGCCAGCGGUCGUUGCCAGAUCCUUUUUUGAAGCCCGGAAUCCUGGCUGCUGAACAACAAGUGGAGGGACAUGCUAGGCUCCUAUGUUUUUCAAGCCAACGUAAUGGGCAUCGUCAUGGACGAAGUUCAUCUAACUUACAAAUGGUACACCUGUGCUGGCAUUGACCGCUUCUGCUGAUCGGGAAUCCAGAGCCAGGGUUAUGAAACGGCUUCAGAUGGACAAUCCAAUCAUUUUGGCUCUGAGCCCAAACAGAACAAACAUCAGACUGGGUCUGAUUAAAGUACCUGGCCAUACACUGGAGUGCCUACACUGGAUUGUGAGGGAUGU
Alosa sapidissima (American shad) is the source of this 785-nucleotide long non-coding RNA. RefSeq lists it as uncharacterized. NCBI's taxonomy places the organism in Eukaryota, Metazoa, Chordata, Actinopteri, Clupeiformes, Clupeidae. The transcript has 2 exons. The record is from RefSeq and is a predicted model, not a curated record.